UUUACACUGUAUUUAACAGUUUUCAUUCAGUAGUUGUUAGCAACUUUAGCCUCAUAGCUCAGAGCCUACCAGCUUUACAAAACCCCCCUAUGGUGUGUGUAUGUAUGUGUGUAUGUUUGUGUGUGUGUGUGUGUGUGCAUUCAUUACAGUGAAGGAGUGUGAUUGCUGUAGACGGAUGCUGAUGGGGUGUCUGUGAUAAACCCUGUGUUGUGGAUAGAGUUACCUGCAGUUUGCUGCUCGCGCCGCCUGCACGUGUUUGGUGUGCUCCGGCUCAGGCCCUGUCUCUCUAUCCAGGCACCAGCCUGCCCUGAGGAUGGAGUGCUCUGAAGAGGCUUGCAGAGGAGAGAGAACUUCAAUUUUCGAGUCGCUACGAGCAAUUUAUGCAGGGGGCACUUCUGGGGCGCACUGCCAUGCUGCUCACGCAGGCACAGGGAAUGCUACACAUUGUUAACAUGGUGGUAAAACGAAAAGCAAGAUGGUUAAAGAUGUUUCCCACAUGCUAGGGUAAUAUGCGUGAUACAGGCCCCAGUUUUGACUAAAAACAAGCUCUGACAGUGG
Molecule: long non-coding RNA, 558 nt
Filed under: Astyanax mexicanus (Mexican tetra)
Lineage: Eukaryota; Metazoa; Chordata; Actinopteri; Characiformes; Acestrorhamphidae
Description: lncRNA (ENSAMXG00005003001.1)
Source: RNAcentral